Molecule: small RNA, 179 nt
Filed under: human gut metagenome
Description: Bacteroidales-1 6S-Bacteroidales RNA suggested
Rfam family: Bacteroidales-1 6S-Bacteroidales RNA suggested
Source: RNAcentral
GUUGACUGGGAAACUCAUCAAAUUUUAAUGAAAUACCGAGACAAGCUCAGGACAUCAAUGGCGGGCCUCACCUCCUUUCAAUAUUUGGCAGGAGUUGUUAGUAGCACAGAGGAUUACAAAGAUUUCCGGGCACUCAAAUCCUGUCAUUCGGAGUUUCAUCACAUCCUUUGAUGUGGCCC